CACGUAGGGUGCGAACGUUGUCCGGAAUUAUUGGGCGUAAAGAGCUCGUAGGCGGUGUGUCGCGUCGGCCGUGAAAACCUGCAGCUUAACUGUGGGCUUGCGGUCGAUACGGGCAUCACUGGAGUUCGGCAGGGGAGACUGGAAUUCCUGGUGUAGCGGUGAAAUGCGCAGAUAUCAGGAGGAACACCGGUGGCGAAGGCGGGUCUCUGGGCCGAUACUGACGCUGAGGAGCGAAAGCGUGGGGAGCGAACAGG
RNAcentral lists this ribosomal RNA (254 nucleotides) under uncultured bacterium. RNAcentral describes it as "partial 16S ribosomal RNA". It matches the Rfam family "Bacterial small subunit ribosomal RNA", at positions 524 to 776 of the family's 1533-position model. The record is from RNAcentral.